RNAcentral lists this ribosomal RNA (253 nucleotides) under uncultured bacterium. RNAcentral describes it as "partial 16S ribosomal RNA". It matches the Rfam family "Bacterial small subunit ribosomal RNA", at positions 524 to 776 of the family's 1533-position model. The record is from RNAcentral.
AACGUAGGAGACAAACGUUAUCCGGAAUCACUGGGCGUAAAGCGCACGUAGGCGGACUCUUAAGUCGGUGGUGAAAUCCUGGAGCUCAACUCCAGAACUGCCUUCGAUACUGAGAGUCUCGAGUCCGGGAGAGGUGAGUGGAACUGCGAGUGUAGAGGUGAAAUUCGUAGAUAUUCGCAAGAACACCAGUGGCGAAGGCGGCUCACUGGCCCGGUACUGACGCUGAGGUGCGAAAGCGUGGGGAGCAAACAGG